This 400-nucleotide ribosomal RNA is filed under the name uncultured bacterium. Its description in RNAcentral is "bacterial SSU rRNA". It matches the Rfam family "Bacterial small subunit ribosomal RNA", at positions 355 to 754 of the family's 1533-position model. The record is from RNAcentral.
UGAGGAAUUUUGCGCAAUGGACGAAAGUCUGACGCAGCGACGCCGCGUGUGGGAUGAAGGGGCUACGCCCUGUAAACCACUGUUAGAUGUGAAAAAAAGAUGGCCUUGCCGUCCGGGAUUGUAGCAUCAGAGGAAGGACCGGCUAACUACGUGCCAGCAGCCGCGGUAAUACGUAGGGUCCGAGCGUUGUCCGGAAUUACUGGGUAUAAAGGGUGCGUAGGCGGGCUUUUACGUCAAGGGUUAAAGACUUCAGCUCAACUGAGGGAGUGCCUUUGAAACGGAAAGUCUUGAAUGUAAGAGAGGUAGGUAGAAUUCCUGGUGUAGCGGUGAAAUGCGUAGAUAUCAGGAGGAAUACCAGUGGCGAAGGCGGCCUACUGGCUUAUUAUUGACGCUGAGGCAC